UUUUGGAUCAAUAUAAAAUAGAGUAUUCAAGCUUGAUAAGUGUGCAUUUUACACGUUUUGAGCAUCCAUUUGUCAUCACUUUAGCAUCAUAUCACCACUGUUUUAUACCAUUUCUCAUCAUUUGUCAUCACUUUGCAUGGUUAGGAUAGUUUUGCAUGCAUAUUGCAUAUUUGUGUUGUGUUCAGGUAAUUUGGAGC
This 197-nucleotide small RNA is filed under the name Arabidopsis thaliana (thale cress). RNAcentral describes it as "ATSL090420". The record is from RNAcentral. Lineage: Eukaryota; Viridiplantae; Streptophyta; Magnoliopsida; Brassicales; Brassicaceae.